UGGGGAAUAUUGGACAAUGGGCGAAAGCCUGAUCCAGCCAUGCCGCGUGUGUGAAGAAGGUCUUCGGAUUGUAAAGCACUUUAAGUUGGGAGGAAGGGCAGUAAGCGAAUACCUUGCUGUUUUGACGUUACCGACAGAAUAAGCACCGGCUAACUCUGUGCCAGCAGCCGCGGUAAUACAGAGGGUGCAAGCGUUAAUCGGAAUUACUGGGCGUAAAGCGCGCGUAGGUGGUUCGUUAAGUUGAAUGUGAAAGCCCCGGGCUCAACCUGGGAACUGCAUCACAAACUGGCGGGCUAGAGUAGGGCAGAGGGUGGUGGAAUUUCCUGUGUAGCGGUGAAAUGCGUAGAUAUAGGAAGGAACACCAGUGGCGAAGGCGACCACCUGGGCUCAUACUGACACUGAGGUGCGAAAGCGUGGGGAGCAAACAGG
This 429-nucleotide ribosomal RNA is filed under the name Pseudomonadota bacterium. Its description in RNAcentral is "Proteobacteria bacterium partial 16S ribosomal RNA". It matches the Rfam family "Bacterial small subunit ribosomal RNA", at positions 355 to 776 of the family's 1533-position model. Lineage: Bacteria; Pseudomonadati; Pseudomonadota. The record is from RNAcentral.